RNAcentral lists this ribosomal RNA (468 nucleotides) under uncultured bacterium. RNAcentral's name for it is "partial 16S ribosomal RNA". It matches the Rfam family "Bacterial small subunit ribosomal RNA", at positions 28 to 507 of the family's 1533-position model. The record is from RNAcentral.
GACGAACGCUGGCGGCGUGCUUAACACAUGCAAGUCGAACGGAAAGGCCCUGCUUUUGUGGGGUGCUCGAGUGGCGAACGGGUGAGUAACACGUGAGUAACCUGCCCUUGACUUUGGGAUAACUUCAGGAAACUGGGGCUAAUACCGGAUAUGAGCUCCUGCUGCAUGGUGUGGGUUGGAAAGUUUCGGCGGUUGGGGAUGGACUCGCGGCUUAUCAGCUUGUUGGUGGGGUAGUGGCUUACCAAGGCUUUGACGGGUAGCCGGCCUGAGAGGGUGACCGGCCACAUUGGGACUGAGAUACGGCCCAGACUCCUACGGGAGGCAGCAGUGGGGAAUAUUGCACAAUGGGCGGAAGCCUGAUGCAGCAACGCCGCGUGCGGGAUGACGGCCUUCGGGUUGUAAACAGCUUUCGCCUGUGACGAAGCGUGAGUGACGGUAAUGGGUAAAGAAGCACCGGCUAACUACGUG